This 70-nucleotide transfer RNA is filed under the name Cavia porcellus (domestic guinea pig). It matches the Rfam family "tRNA". From Rfam's summary of the family: Transfer RNA (tRNA) molecules are approximately 80 nucleotides in length. Their secondary structure includes four short double-helical elements and three loops (D, anti-codon, and T loops). The record is from Rfam by way of RNAcentral. Lineage: Eukaryota; Metazoa; Chordata; Mammalia; Rodentia; Caviidae.
GAGGGUGUAGCUCAGUGUAGAGCACUUGCUUUGAGUGCAUGAGACCUGGAUCUGAUCACCUACACCCCCA